GCCAGAGUGGUGCAGUGGUUUGAGAGUUGGGCUGUGACUCUGGAGAUCAGGGUUCGAUUCCCUGCUCAGCCA
This is a non-coding RNA of Phrynosoma platyrhinos (Desert horned lizard), 72 nucleotides long. Lineage: Eukaryota; Metazoa; Chordata; Lepidosauria; Squamata; Phrynosomatidae. The record is from the annotation of a GenBank genome assembly.